CUCUGCCUAUGAUGAGUUGCGAUAUCAUUUUUGCCUACAUUGUCUGAUGUUUUUGUGAUAAUAAUUGCAACGACUGAGGCUUCA
RNAcentral lists this small nucleolar RNA (84 nucleotides) under Leersia perrieri. RNAcentral's name for it is "snoRNA SNORD34". It matches the Rfam family "Small nucleolar RNA SNORD34". Rfam says of the family: snoRNA U34 is found in intron 5 of the ribosomal protein L13a gene in humans. U34 is a member of the C/D class of snoRNA which contain C (UGAUGA) and D (CUGA) box motifs, and functions in directing site-specific 2'-O-methylation of 25S rRNAs. The record is from Rfam by way of RNAcentral. Lineage: Eukaryota; Viridiplantae; Streptophyta; Magnoliopsida; Poales; Poaceae.